RNAcentral lists this transfer RNA (74 nucleotides) under Planctomycetota bacterium. RNAcentral describes it as "tRNA-Pro". It matches the Rfam family "tRNA". Rfam says of the family: Transfer RNA (tRNA) molecules are approximately 80 nucleotides in length. Their secondary structure includes four short double-helical elements and three loops (D, anti-codon, and T loops). Further hydrogen bonds mediate the characteristic L-shaped molecular structure. tRNAs have two regions of fundamental functional importance: the anti-codon, which is responsible for specific mRNA codon recognition, and the 3' end, to which the tRNAs corresponding amino acid is attached (by aminoacyl-tRNA synthetases). tRNAs cope with the degeneracy of the genetic code in two manners: having more than one tRNA (with a specific anti-codon) for a particular amino acid; and 'wobble' base-pairing, i.e. permitting non-standard base-pairing at the 3rd anti-codon position. Lineage: Bacteria; Pseudomonadati; Planctomycetota. RNAcentral also lists the same sequence under 3 other names. The record is from RNAcentral.
CAGGGUGUAGCUCAGCUUGGUAGAGCACCUGCUUUGGGAGCAGGAUGUCGCAGGUUCGAAUCCUGUCACCCUGA